Molecule: non-coding RNA, 72 nt
Organism: Dunaliella salina
Lineage: Eukaryota; Viridiplantae; Chlorophyta; Chlorophyceae; Chlamydomonadales; Dunaliellaceae
Source: the annotation of a GenBank genome assembly
UAAAGGGUAGCAUAAUUGGUAGUGUGUUGGUCUCCUAACCAAAUAAUAGAGGUUCGAAUCCUCUGCUUUCUG